CAGAUAUGUCUCCAGGGAGGACUUCUCCAGCUCCUACCUUGGAUGCUGCACCCAAUCCCAGCUCCCAUGGCAGGGGUCCUCCACCAGAAGAGACCAAAGGCAUGGCAGACAAGAAAUUCCAGAACCCAUUUGAAAUCAUGUGGCAAAUGCUGAAGGAAAUGCUGCAGAGAAGACAAGAAUUGGAUUUUGAGCCUGUGCAGAAGGAAGCAUUUGCCGGAGGAAGCAGUGGUUCUGUGCCAGCCUCUGCUGCAGGAAGAGAGGCCAUGCCAGGCACAGGCACAGGAGCUGAACCUGCCGGUGAAGGCCCCACAUCCAAGACUGAGCCUCUGGGAGAUGCUGAGGGUAGGUC
Molecule: long non-coding RNA, 349 nt
Organism: Passer domesticus (house sparrow)
Lineage: Eukaryota; Metazoa; Chordata; Aves; Passeriformes; Passeridae
Exons: 4
Source: RefSeq, a predicted model, not a curated record